RNAcentral lists this transfer RNA (74 nucleotides) under Rhizobium laguerreae. RNAcentral describes it as "tRNA-Asn". It matches the Rfam family "tRNA". Rfam says of the family: Transfer RNA (tRNA) molecules are approximately 80 nucleotides in length. Their secondary structure includes four short double-helical elements and three loops (D, anti-codon, and T loops). Further hydrogen bonds mediate the characteristic L-shaped molecular structure. tRNAs have two regions of fundamental functional importance: the anti-codon, which is responsible for specific mRNA codon recognition, and the 3' end, to which the tRNAs corresponding amino acid is attached (by aminoacyl-tRNA synthetases). tRNAs cope with the degeneracy of the genetic code in two manners: having more than one tRNA (with a specific anti-codon) for a particular amino acid; and 'wobble' base-pairing, i.e. permitting non-standard base-pairing at the 3rd anti-codon position. Lineage: Bacteria; Pseudomonadati; Pseudomonadota; Alphaproteobacteria; Hyphomicrobiales; Rhizobiaceae. The record is from RNAcentral.
UGGUAUGUCGUCCAAAGGUAGGACACCCGACUGUUAAUCGGUCAAUUCCGGUUCGAGUCCGGACAUUCCAGCCA